GACGAACGCUGGCGGCGUGCUUAACACAUGCAAGUCGAACGAUGAAGCCUAGCUUGCUAGGUGGAUUAGUGGCGAACGGGUGAGUAAUACGUGAGUAACCUACCUUUAACUCUGGGAUAAGCCUGGGAAACUGGGUCUAAUACCGGAUACGACCAAUCUCCGCAUGGGGUGUUGGUGGAAAGCGUUAUGUAGUGGUUAUAGAUGGGCUCACGGCCUAUCAGCUUGUUGGUGAGGUAACGGCUCACCAAGGCGACGACGGGUAGCCGGCCUGAGAGGGUGACCGGCCACACUGGGACUGAGACACGGCCCAGACUCCUACGGGAGGCAGCAGUGGGGAAUAUUGCACAAUGGGCGCAAGCCUGAUGCAGCGACCCCUCGUGAGGGAUGACGGCUUUCGGCUUGUAAACCUCUGUUAUCAUGGAAAUAAGAGAGAUUGACGGUACCUGCGGAGAAAGCGCCGGCUAACUACCUGUCCGCAUCCGCGGUAUUAUUUAGGGUGCGAGCGUUCUUCCGGAAUUAUUGGGGCGUACGGAGCUUGUCGGCUUUUUGUCCUCCCUUGCUGUUAAAGGCCGGGCUUAUUUCUUUUUUGGUUUUGUUUUGGUCCUUCUUCCUCUCCCGCUUUCGACUGAAA
Molecule: ribosomal RNA, 631 nt
Filed under: Rothia mucilaginosa
Lineage: Bacteria; Bacillati; Actinomycetota; Actinomycetes; Micrococcales; Micrococcaceae
Description: bacterial SSU rRNA
Rfam family: Bacterial small subunit ribosomal RNA
Source: RNAcentral